GAUGAACGCUGGCGGCGUGCUUAACACAUGCAAGUCGAACGAUGAAGCCCAGCUUGCUGGGUGGAUUAGUGGCGAACGGGUGAGUAACACGUGAGUAACCUGCCCUUAACUCUGGGAUAAGCCUGGGAAACUGGGUCUAAUACCGGAUAGGAGCGUCCACCGCAUGGUGGGUGUUGGAAAGAUUUAUCGGUUUUGGAUGGACUCGCGGCCUAUCAGCUUGUUGGUGAGGUAAUGGCUCACCAAGGCGACGACGGGUAGCCGGCCUGAGAGGGUGACCGGCCACACGGGGACGGAGACACGGCCCAGACUCCUACGGGAGGCAGCAGUGGGGAAUAUUGCACAAGGGGCGCAAGCCUGAUGCAGCGACGCCGCGUGGGGGAGGACGGCCUUCGGGUGGUAAACCUCUUUCAGUAGGGAAGAAGCGAAAGGGACGGGACCUGCAGAAGAAGCACCGGCUAACUACGU
This 465-nucleotide ribosomal RNA is filed under the name uncultured bacterium. RNAcentral's name for it is "partial 16S ribosomal RNA". It matches the Rfam family "Bacterial small subunit ribosomal RNA", at positions 28 to 506 of the family's 1533-position model. The record is from RNAcentral.